RNAcentral lists this ribosomal RNA (252 nucleotides) under uncultured bacterium. RNAcentral's name for it is "partial 16S ribosomal RNA". It matches the Rfam family "Bacterial small subunit ribosomal RNA", at positions 524 to 776 of the family's 1533-position model. The record is from RNAcentral.
UACGGAGGAUGCGAGCGUUAUCCGGAUUUAUUGGGUUUAAAGGGUGCGUAGGCGGACGCUUAAGUCAGCGGUAAAAUUGCGGGGCUCAACCUCGUCGAGCCGUUGAAACUGGGUGCCUUGAGUGGGCGAGAAGUACGCGGAAUGCGUGGUGGAGCGGUGAAAUGCAUAGAUAUCACGCAGAACUCCGAUUGCGAAGGCAGCGUACCGGCGCCCAACUGACGCUGAAGCACGAAGGCGUGGGUAUCGAACAGG